GGCUCAGGAUGAACGCUGGCGGCGUGCCUAACACAUGCAAGUCGAGCGGAGAGAGGCGCCGGAGAGGGUUCGGCCUGAUCCAUGCCUUCUUAGCGGCGGAUGGGUGAGGAACGCGUGGAGAACCUGCCUCACACAGGGGGAUAACAGCUGGAAACGGCUGUUAAUACCGCAUAUGCUCACGGUGCCGCAUGGCACAGGGAGGAAAGAUUUAUCGGUGUGAGAUGGCUCCGCGUCGGAUUAGCCAGUUGGCGGGUAACGGCCCACCAAAGCGAUGAUCCGUAGCCGGCCUGAGAGGGCGACCGGCCACAUUGGGACUGAGACACGGCCCAAACUCCUACGGGAGGCAGCAGUGGGGGAUAUUGCACAAUGGGCGAAAGCCUGAUGCCAGCGACGCCGCGUGAAGGAAGACGUACUUCGGUAUGUAAACUUCUAUCAGCAGGGAAGAAGAUGACGGUACCUGACUAAGAAGCCCCGGCUAACUACGUGCCAGCAGCAGC
This 497-nucleotide ribosomal RNA is filed under the name uncultured bacterium. RNAcentral describes it as "bacterial SSU rRNA". It matches the Rfam family "Bacterial small subunit ribosomal RNA", at positions 21 to 518 of the family's 1533-position model. The record is from RNAcentral.